Long non-coding RNA from Gallus gallus (chicken), 2691 nucleotides. The record is from Ensembl. Lineage: Eukaryota; Metazoa; Chordata; Aves; Galliformes; Phasianidae.
GGGGGGAUAUGGGGUGAUAUGGGGGGCUGUGAGAUAAUAUGGGGUGAUAUGGGGGGCUGUGGGGUGCUAUGGAGGGCCAUGGGGGGCUAUGGGCUGCACUGAGCUGCACUGAGCUGCAUUGAGCUGCAAUGGUGCUGAGCGGCGCUGAGUUGCAUUGAGCUGCUAUGGGCUGCAAUGGACUGCACUGAGCUGCAUUGAGCUGUGAUGGGCUACAAUGAGCUGCUAUGGGCUGCAAUGGGAUGCAUUGAGCUGCAGUGGGAUGCAUUGAGCUGCAAUGGGAUGCACUGAGCUGCACUGAGCUGCAAUGGGCUGCAAUGAGCUGCGCUGCACUGAGCUGCAAUGGACUGCACGAUGCUGAGCUGCAUUGAGCUGCAAUGAAUGACACUGAGCUGCUGUGGGCUGCACUGAGCUGCAUUGCACUGAGCUGCCGUGGGCUGCAAUGGAUGCACUGAGCUGCAUUGCAUCGCACUGAGCCGCAAUGGGCUGCAAAGGGCUGCAUUGAGCUGCAGGGGGGUGCAAUGGGCUGCAUUGCACUGAGCUGCAUUGAGCUGCAUCACACCGAGCUGCAAAGUGCUGGGCUGCAAAGGGGCUGCAAUGGGCUGCAGUGGGAUGCAAUGGGAUGCAGUGGGCUGCAUUGAGCUGCUUUGGGCUGCUAUGGGAUGCACUGAGCUGCACGGAGUUGCAUUGAGCUGCAGUGGGCUGCAAGGGGCUGCAAUGGGCUGCUAUGGGCUGCAGUGAGAUGCAAUGGGCUCCUAUGGGCUGCAGUGAGAUGCAAUGGGCUGCAAUGAGCUGCAAUGGGCUGCAGUGGAGUGCAAUGAGCUGCAAGGGGCUGCAGUGGGCUGCAAUGAGCUGCAAGGGGCUGCUAUGGGAUGCAAUGGGCUGCAAUGGGCUGCAUGGUGCUGAGCUGCACUGAGCUGCAUUGAGCUGCAAUGAACUGCACUGAGCUGCACUGCUGCACUGCACUGAGCUGCACUGCACUGAGCUGCACUGCUGCACUGCACUGAGCUGCACUGCACUGAGCUGCAUGGCUCUGAGCUGCACUGAGCUGCACUGCUGCACUGCACUGAGCUGCACGGCGCUGCAUAGAGCUGCACUGCACGGCACUGCACGGCACUGCAUGGCAUGGAGCCGCUGCCCCACACGUGGGGUGCAGUUGUGGGGUGCAGUUGUGGGGCUCACAGUGAUGGGGUGCAGUUAUGGGGUGCAGUUGUGGGGCUCCCAUCUAUGGGCUGCAAUUAUGGGGCGCAGUUGUGGGGCUCACAGUGAUGGGGUGCAGUUGUGGGGCUCCCAUCUAUGGGCUGCAGUUGUGGGGUGCAGCGAUGGGGCGCAGUUGUGGGGCUCACAGCUAUGGGGUGCAGUUAUGGGGUGCAGCAAUGGGGCGCAGUUGUGGGGCUCCCAUCUAUGAGCUGCAGUUGUGGGGUGCAGUUGUGGGGCUCACAGUUGUGGGGUGCAGUUGUGGGGCUCACAGCUAUGGGGCACAGUUAUGGGGUGCAGUUAUGUGGCUCACAGUGAGGGGGUGCAGUUAUGGGGCGCAGUUGUGGGGCUCCCACCUAUGGGCUGCGGUUGUGGGGUACAGCAAUGGGGCGCAGUUGUGGGGCUCACAGCUAUGGGGCGCAGUUGUGGGGCUCCCACCUAUGAGCUGCAGUUGUGGGGUGCAGUUAUGGGGUGCAGCUGUGGGGCUCCCACCUAUGGGUUGCAGUUGUGGGGCGCAGUUGUGGGGCUUACAGUGAUGAGCUGCAGUUGUGGGGCGCAAUUAUGGGGCGCAGUUGUGGGGCUCACAGUGAUGGGCUGCAGUUGUGGGGCGCAGCUGUGGGGCUCACAGCUAUGAGCUGCAGCUAUGGGGCGCAUUGGUGGGGCUCCCAUCUAUGAGCUGCAGUUGUGGGGUGCAGUUAUGGGGUGCAGCUGUGGGGCUCCCACCUAUGGGCUGCAGUUGUGGGGCGCAGUUAUGGGGCUCACAGUGAUGGGGAGCAGUUGUGGGGCUCACAGCUAUGAGCUGCAGUUGUGGGGUGCAGUUAUGGGGUGCAGCUGUGGGGCUCCCACCUAUGGGCUUGCAGUUGUGGGGCUCACAGUGAGGGGGUGCAGUUAUGGGGGCGCAGUUGUGGGGUUCACAUCUAUGAGCUGCAGUUUGUGGGGCGCAGUUGUGGGGUCACAGCUAUGGGGCGCAGUGAUGGGGUGCAGUUAUGGGGCGCAGUUGUGGGGCUCACAGCUAUGGGCUGCGGUUUUGGGGUACAGCAAUGGGGCGCAGGUUGUGGGGCUCACAGCUAUGGGGCGCAGUGAUGGGGUGCAGUUAUGGGGGCGCAGUUGUGGGGCUCCCAUCUAUGAGCUGCAGUUGUGGGGCUGCAGUUAUGGGGCGCAGCUGUGGGGCUCACAGCUAUGGGCUGCGGUUGUGGGGUGCAGUUGGGGGGUGCAGUUAUGGGCUCACAGUGACGGGGUGCAGUUAUGGGGCGCAGUUGUGGGGCUCACAGCUAUGGGGCGCAGUUGUGGGGCUCCCACCUAUGGCUGCAGUUGUGGGGCGCGGCUGUGGGCCCCCCCGUCUGCGUUGCCGCCCCAUAGGCGCUCCCGGCCGUCCCAAGGUCACAUUGUGCGCCCCCCCCCCCCCCAAAAAGACCCCCCCCCGAUACCGUCAAUGGGUCCAAACGGGGGCUCAGAGCGCUGCGGGUCGGGCGGGUGGAGACCCCGCGGGGCUGAAAG